This is a long non-coding RNA of Rattus rattus (black rat), 465 nucleotides long. RefSeq lists it as uncharacterized. The transcript has 4 exons. The record is from RefSeq and is a predicted model, not a curated record. Lineage: Eukaryota; Metazoa; Chordata; Mammalia; Rodentia; Muridae.
UGGUAGUUCCCAGGAAAAAGAAGGUGGACUGUUCAGUGGCCACAGUGACUCCCCCCAGGCAGGCAUGCUCUGCCCUCUGAAGCAGGCUGCAACACUUCUGGGAGGGGCUCCCAAAUGGACUCCUGCCUUUCACUGGUGACAGGUUUCUAUCCAGUCUAAAAUAUUUAUGUGGCUCAGUAUCUGGAAUCCUCCUAGACGAUGGAAGAGCAGAGCAGCUCGGAAUCCUUGCACAGCCCCAUAGAGUGGAGCUAUCUUCCCAAACGUUCCGUCCUCAACUGAAACACAAGUGACUCUGGUCUGGGAUAUGGGACUGCUUCAGACCGUCCACAGCAUCUGGUUAUGAUCGAGCUCAUCCCCUAGCAGGGGUCCAGCCUUUUGAAGAAGGGGGCUGAAAGAUUAAAAAGGAAGGUUGCUGGCCUCUCUUGCUGGCUGGCCAGCCUUCCUCGGAGCUGCUGCUGCCGCCGC